UUAUUGGAGAGUUUGAUCCUGGCUCAGGACGAACGCUGGCGGCGUGCCUAAUACAUGCAAGUCGAGCGGG
Molecule: ribosomal RNA, 70 nt
Filed under: Brevibacillus sp. NL20B1
Lineage: Bacteria; Bacillati; Bacillota; Bacilli; Caryophanales; Paenibacillaceae
Description: partial 16S ribosomal RNA
Rfam family: Bacterial small subunit ribosomal RNA
Source: RNAcentral